Mus musculus (house mouse) is the source of this 1156-nucleotide long non-coding RNA. RefSeq annotates it as predicted gene, 51562. NCBI's taxonomy places the organism in Eukaryota, Metazoa, Chordata, Mammalia, Rodentia, Muridae. The record is from RefSeq and is a predicted model, not a curated record. The transcript has 3 exons.
GUUGCCCAAGGUGGGGUCUGGGCAGAACACCAGAAAGUCGUUAGAGUCUGCACUGCAGUCAGAACGGUGCCGGUCCGCGAGCCUCCCCCAUCCUGGAAGUCCUCCAGAUCCAUCGCACAGAACGGGUCUGUGGCCAGAUCUGUUUUGGAGGCGAAUGGACUCGCAGAACAGUUCAGACCCAUGCCUGCAGCAUCUUAAUGUGGAGCAUGCCUUUCUGUUGUUUUGGUUUUGCUUUUUGGCACAGGUGCCGUGUAAACCAGGCUGGCCUCCAGUGAUCGAUGCAGCUGAACUUGGCCCCGUGCUCUUGUGCCUCCUGCCUCUACCUCCCAAGAAAGAACAUGGACAUUUCUGACGCGGCGCCAAUGUCUCACAAUGUCUCAGCAAGCCUCCGUCUCGUCUCAACAACACUGGCUCCUGACAUAUCUCCCAAGCUUCCUCAAAGUGAGACAACUGAGUAGAACUGCCUGGGAAGCCCCCUGACUGUGGGAUCUUAGGGUCUAAUCACCACCCCUCCCCCAGGCCCAGGAUUUACACUGACCAAACACACAGGAGGUAGCCUCAAUCACAGCUCUGCCACAUCUUUGCGCAUGCGUCCCAGGCAGGAAGGGGUGUUUUCAGGAGCCCUGCCCACAACGGAGCUUCAAGGCCUCUGAUGAACACUGGGGAUGGAGGAUGCAGCACCGUGGGACUCACUUGCUAUCAUCAUGACAACAGGCAGGAUGGUCGCCUUCUGAUGGAGCUCAGGGACUUUUGAGAUGGUUACUGCAUGCCAAUCUCUAUAAACGACACACAUGCACUGAGAAGAAUAACUCCUUUUAGUCCGCACAUGGAUUUUUUUCAAAAUAUAAGACUGCUCCCUCCUCUUCCAUUUCAAGAUGGGUGUGUUUCCCCAGACUUGGAGAAGGAGAAGAGCUGCCCCCAUCCUUUAUCUGGCGAGGAGACCCAGGCGGCUGAGAUCCAAACCAUGUGCAGGGUGACAACAGUUAAGUCUGCACGGGGCCGCGUGGCUGCUCAGAGCCGAGAGUAGAAAGUGUAGUUCCAGGGUCUAAUCCGACCGAUCCGCUGUGUUCUUUGCAAAAGGUUGCGAGGCCUUGGCCUAAUAAGCAUAAUCUCAUUACACUGCAAAUAAAAGUUUCCUAUUUAUCUCCAGAUUUCA